UGGCGGAAGGGUGAGUAACGCGUGGGUAACCUACCCCUAAGUUGGGGACAACUCCGCGAAAGCGGGGCUAAUACCGGACGUGGUUCCUUGUCGCAUGGCGAGGUAACUAAAGGCGGGGAUCUUUCGGGACCUGCCGCUUGGGGAGGGGCCCGCGUCCCAUCAGCUUGUUGGUGAGGUAACGGCUCACCAAGGCUCACGGGUAGCUGGUCUGAGAGGACGGUCAGCCACACUGGGACUGAGACACUGCCCAGACUCCUACGGGAGGCUGCAGUCGAGGAUCAUUUACAAUGCGCGAAAGCGUGAUAAUGCGACGCUGCGUGGAGGAUGACGGCCUUCGGGUUGUAAACUCCUGUCAUGAGGGAAAAAUAGUCCCGGCCCGAAUAAGGUCGGGGUUUGAUGGUACCUCAAGAGGAAGCCACGGCUAACUUCGUGCCAGCAGCCGCGGUAAUACGAAGGUGGCAAGCGUUGUUCGGAUUUACUGGGCGUAGAGCGUGCGUAGGUGGUUUCGUGUGUCGGAUGUGAAAGCCCAUGGCUCAACUGUGGAAUUGCAUUCGAAACUGCGGGACUUGAGUGCAGGAGGGGAGAGCGGAAUUCUUGGUGUAGCGGUGAAAUGCGUUGAUAUCAAGAAGAACACCGGUGGCGAAGGCGGCUCUCUGGAAUGUUACUGACACUGAGGCACGAAAGCUGGGGGAGCAAACAGGAUUAGAUACCCUGGUAGUCCCAGCCGUAAACGGUGCGCACUUGG
RNAcentral lists this ribosomal RNA (745 nucleotides) under uncultured bacterium. RNAcentral describes it as "bacterial SSU rRNA". It matches the Rfam family "Bacterial small subunit ribosomal RNA", at positions 96 to 820 of the family's 1533-position model. The record is from RNAcentral.